This 874-nucleotide ribosomal RNA is filed under the name uncultured bacterium. Its description in RNAcentral is "bacterial SSU rRNA". It matches the Rfam family "Bacterial small subunit ribosomal RNA", at positions 32 to 906 of the family's 1533-position model. The record is from RNAcentral.
AACGCUAGCGGCAGGCCUAAUACAUGCAAGUCGGACGGGAUUGGGGAGCUUGCUCCCCAUGAGAGUGGCGCACGGGUGCGUAACACGUAUGUAACCUACCCAUAUCAGGGGGAUAGCCUCUCGAAAGAGAGAUUAAGCCCGCAUAAAAUCACAGAGCAGCAUUGCUCAAUGAUCAAAUAUUUAUAGGAUAUGGAUGGGCAUGCGGAACAUUAGCUAGUUGGUAAGGUAACGGCUUACCAAGGCUACGAUGUUUAGGGGAUCUGAGAGGAUGACCCCCCACACUGGUACUGAGACACGGACCAGACUCCUACGGGAGGCAGCAGUACGGAAUAUUGGUCAAUGGGCGCAAGCCUGAACCAGCCAUGCCGCGUGCAGGAAGACGGCCCUACGGGUUGUAAACUGCUUUUAUACGGGAAUAAACUUCACUACGUGUAGUGAGCUGAAUGUACUGUAAGAAUAAGGAUCGGCUAACUCCGUGCCAGCAGCCGCGGUAAUACGGAGGAUCCAAGCGUUAUCCGGAUUUAUUGGGUUUAAAGGGUGCGUAGGCGGCCUAUUAAGUCAGGGGUGAAAGACGGUAGCUUAACUAUCGCAGUGCCCUUGAUACUGAUGGGCUUGAAUAUACUAGAGGUAGGCGGAAUGUGACAAGUAGCGAUGAAAUGCAUAGAUAUGUCACAGAACACCAAUUGCGAAGGCAGCUUACUAUGGUAUUAUUGACGCUGAGGCACGAAAGCGUGGGGAUCAAACAGGAUUAGAUACCCUGGUAGUCCACGCCCCAAACGAUGAACACUCGAUGUUGGCGAUAUACGGUCAGCGUCAAAGCGAAAGCGUUAAGUGUUCCACCUGGGGAGUACGCCCGCAAGGGUGAAACUCAAAG